RNAcentral lists this ribosomal RNA (473 nucleotides) under uncultured bacterium. RNAcentral describes it as "partial 16S ribosomal RNA". It matches the Rfam family "Bacterial small subunit ribosomal RNA", at positions 36 to 538 of the family's 1533-position model. The record is from RNAcentral.
AACGAACGCUGGCGGCAUGCCUAACACAUGCAAGUCGAACGAGACCUUCGGGUCUAGUGGCGCACGGGUGCGUAACGCGUGGGAACCUGCCCUUAGGUUCGGAAUAACUCCCCGAAAGGGGUGCUAAUACCGGAUAAUGUCUUCGGACCAAAGAUUUAUCGCCUUUGGAUGGGCCCGCGUUGGAUUAGCUAGUUGGUAGGGUAAAAGCCUACCAAGGCGACGAUCCAUAGCUGGUCUGAGAGGAUGAUCAGCCACACUGGGACUGAGACACGGCCCAGACACCUCGGGGAGGCAGAUGUGACGAAUCUCCGAUACUGGGCAAAGCACUGAGCCAACAGUGCGGCGUGAGAGACGAGGCUUUUAUGGUGGUAAAGCUCUUUUCCCCGGGAGAAGAAAGACCUUACGGGCAGAUUAACCGCCGGCAAACCCCGACCCAGAGGCGGCGGUAGUAAGAGGAAGACCCCCCUCUGAAC